CACAGGUGUUGAGCUCUCCAGUCAACUGCAAAAUUAUCAUCAUUAUCAUCAUCGCUUGACGGCUCUUCUUGACUAUACUCUUUUCCAGCAGCACUAGAAUCUCUGCUACGCUUGGCAGACCUAGCAGCCAUCAACUCCUUUCGCUUCUUCCUCAGCGAUUCAACUUUUUCCCUAUACGUCUUUUGCUCCAAUGAUUCGGCCUCUUCUAACAUUUCAGCUGCAUCAAUCUCCUCUUCUUCUAAACGGUCAUCCACUUCUUGCAAGUCUUCUUGGAUCAACUUCUCAAAUUCCUUGUACUCAUCUUUAACAUCUGGCUUAACAGGCUUAAUGCCACGAGCAAGCAAAUCUGCUUCCUUAUCAUCAAAGAAGCCUUCAGGAAGAGCUCCCUUCACUUGCUUUGUUUCUGAACCAGUAAUUUCUCUUGGCGUACGCUUUUGCUCCCUCGCAUGUCCACUGGCUUUUGUUUGCAAUUCAUUACCAGUAGGUAAUCCAUCCAUCGCAUUUUUUAAAGACNNNNNNNNUACCUUGAGCAGAAACACCUGACUUUUUACGUGAAUCUGGAUUCAAUGACUUGGCAGCAUCCAUAGCAACCCGAGAAUAAUUUCAACGUGAACAAUGGGUACAAUGUCCGGAAUAGGGGAAGAAGCACUGGGUUUGGGCUUUUGGCUGUCGUUGUUCAGGUACGUCUAGGAGACUUGGGUCCUUGCUGGUCCGUUUCAGAUGGAUACGGCAAAACUAAGGGAUUUGAUGGGUCUGUGCAGAUAUUCUUGAUGGGUCGAUUGAUUUUGUGGAGUGGAAUGGAAUUGAAGAUGAGAAUAAAGGGAAACUGAUUUUGAUGCGUAAAUGGCUUUGUGACCAGAGUAAAAGAUGUGAGGGAAGAAGGAAUAAUGGUUUGUGUAUAUGGGUAAAAACAAAGGUGAGAGUGAAAUGCGUUUCAGCUUUGGUGGCGUGAAGGAGAUGAGGUGCUGGUGGUAUUCGGCUUGACAAUCUGGGCUUAAUGGAAUGCAGGCGGAGGAAGCUGCUGUGUGAUGGUGAUGAUGAGUUGGAACAAUGUGAAUGUAACAAGGUGGGUUUUGGGUUUUGUUAAAGAAGGAAGAAGAGAAGGGAAGAAGGCAGUCUC
RNAcentral lists this unclassified non-coding RNA (1120 nucleotides) under Hevea brasiliensis (rubber tree). The record is from RNAcentral. Lineage: Eukaryota; Viridiplantae; Streptophyta; Magnoliopsida; Malpighiales; Euphorbiaceae.